This 83-nucleotide transfer RNA is filed under the name Eubacteriales bacterium. RNAcentral's name for it is "tRNA-Leu". It matches the Rfam family "tRNA". From Rfam's summary of the family: Transfer RNA (tRNA) molecules are approximately 80 nucleotides in length. Their secondary structure includes four short double-helical elements and three loops (D, anti-codon, and T loops). Further hydrogen bonds mediate the characteristic L-shaped molecular structure. tRNAs have two regions of fundamental functional importance: the anti-codon, which is responsible for specific mRNA codon recognition, and the 3' end, to which the tRNAs corresponding amino acid is attached (by aminoacyl-tRNA synthetases). tRNAs cope with the degeneracy of the genetic code in two manners: having more than one tRNA (with a specific anti-codon) for a particular amino acid; and 'wobble' base-pairing, i.e. permitting non-standard base-pairing at the 3rd anti-codon position. The record is from RNAcentral. Lineage: Bacteria; Bacillati; Bacillota; Clostridia; Eubacteriales.
GCCGGUGUGUCGGAAUGGCAGACGAUGCAGACUCAAAAUCUGUUGGGCGUACGCCCGUGUGGGUUCGAGUCCCACCACCGGCA